This 293-nucleotide unclassified non-coding RNA is filed under the name Hevea brasiliensis (rubber tree). The record is from RNAcentral. Lineage: Eukaryota; Viridiplantae; Streptophyta; Magnoliopsida; Malpighiales; Euphorbiaceae.
GUGAAAGAAAUGAAUGAAUAUGAAUUAGGGAAAAUUAGCUAUGUUUUAAAUUUAGUUGGGACAUCUAUUUGUUGGCAAUUUUACACAGUUGGUUCAGUAGGGUUAAUAUUUAAAGUGUCUUCAUUAUUUUCAAAUGUAAUUAGUAUAUUAGGUUUGCCUGUGGCUCCUGCUUUGGCUGUGAUGUUUCUUCAUGACAAGUUGAGUGGUAUUAAAGUGAUGUCAAUGGUGUUGGCAAUUUGGGGAUUUGUGUCAUAUAUGUAUCAACAUUAUCUUGAUGAUCUAAAGGAAAAGGC